UGAGGAAUAUUGGUCAAUGGACGGAAGUCUGAACCAGCCAUGCCGCGUGCAGGAAGAAUGUCCUAUGGAUUGUAAACUGCUUUUUUACGGGAAUAAAUGUACAUUUGCGAAUGUAUUUGAAGGUACUGUAAGAAUAAGGAUCGGCUAACUCCGUGCCAGCAGCCGCGGUAAUACGGAGGAUCCGAGCGUUAUCCGGAUUUAUUGGGUUUAAAGGGUGCGUAGGCGGCACAUUAAGUCAGUGGUGAAAUCUUCAUGCUUAACAUGGAAACUGCCAUUGAUACUGAUGAGCUUGAGUACAGAUGGAGUGGGCGGAAUAUGACAUGUAGCGGUGAAAUGCGUAGAUAUGUCAUAGAACUCCAAUCGCGAAGGCAGCUCACUAAGCUGUAACUGACGCUAAAGCACGAAAGCGUGGGGAUCAAACA
This 422-nucleotide ribosomal RNA is filed under the name uncultured Bacteroidota bacterium. RNAcentral describes it as "bacterial SSU rRNA". It matches the Rfam family "Bacterial small subunit ribosomal RNA", at positions 355 to 774 of the family's 1533-position model. The record is from RNAcentral. Lineage: Bacteria; Pseudomonadati; Bacteroidota.